Molecule: transfer RNA, 92 nt
Filed under: Sphingobium chlorophenolicum L-1
Lineage: Bacteria; Pseudomonadati; Pseudomonadota; Alphaproteobacteria; Sphingomonadales; Sphingobiaceae
Description: tRNA-Und (NNN) (tRNA-Und-NNN-2-1)
Source: RNAcentral
GACGCGAUGUACUAUGAAAUUUCGCGGUGAGACGUUGAAUCCAAUUUCUCUUAAUCAGCGGGUCCUAGGUUCGAGCCCUAGUGCGUCCACCA